ACAAGGGAUUUAAGUAGCCAAGUGAUUUGCUCAUUGCUUAAGUGAAGACACACUUGUUGCCUGGAGGAGGUGAUGGACUCGUGGAGAGUUUGGGUGAAAGCCAGGAGGCAAUGUAAAGCUAUUCACAAGAAACCACUGAAGAUAAGAGUAGAUUGGCCUGUCAUAAUCUAUGCCGCUGAGUAAUCAGUGUUGGGUUGUGUUCUGCUACAGUGGCACCCGAAAAAGGACGGCCAGAAAAAAGUCACAUCCCAGAAAGGUGACAUCAUCCUCUUUGCCAAAGAAAGAUGAUGGCCGCCACACCUGGAAUACCAACCUGAGCUGCAUACACAGGCCAAACAGAAGAUGGAAAUUGUGGAGUCUCAGUGGGAUUAAUUGA
Long non-coding RNA from Cyprinus carpio (common carp), 376 nucleotides. NCBI's taxonomy places the organism in Eukaryota, Metazoa, Chordata, Actinopteri, Cypriniformes, Cyprinidae. The record is from Ensembl.